UGUAAACCUUAUCUACAACAUCCAUUGGCAAUUAAAUAUGGCAAUUUAUAUAUUAUUCGGUCACAUAUAGAAAUAUAGUACUAAAUAAAUACACAGUGGACUCACCAGGCCAGUGAAGUUCCACCAGCGGCUCUAAGUGGUCGAUGGCAGCCGCGAUGCUGGUGCUGGGCAGGUGUCCGUCGCUUUCAAUGGCUCCGUCGUCAUCACAACUUUCAAUCCAAGUGUCAGUGAGUUCUUUGCCCAAGGAGAUAACUGCCUUGUUAUACUCCACGUUGCUGCAGUUCGCCUGGAGGAAGCUCAGCACCACCAAGGCGGCGUUUUGCUCGCUGGACAACUUGUCACUAGAGAACUUCUAAAACAUCUCAUACGGAAGAGAAACAAGCGUGGACAAACAUCUGAAGACGCUGCUAACGCUAAAGCUAAGUAGCCUUACCUACUUCGUCACGUCUAGCUAAGUUAGCUCACAGGCUAGCUAAUGCUAGCAAAGUUCGAACAUAGCCCAAAUACAGCCUAAAGCAAACUCCUUCCACCUCAGAGACAUUUUUUGUAGUUAAAAGUUGAAGAAAAAUAAGUUGGUGCACCAUACAGACAAGCAUCAGCUCUUCAUCUGAGGGGCAUUCUGUCUCCCUCAAGCAGAAGUCACUGCAUGGCUGUCCUGAACUUCUCCACAUUGAGUUCUCGACGUAGCUCAGCCGCCAGCCUCCCGGUCCUCUCCUGUCUCAAGACACUGUGCUUGCAAAGCUGCCGAGCAGAAGGCCGUUUGGUCGGGUCUGGAUCCAACAACAACUAAACAAAAAAAAAGGUUCAAAUUCAACCAACCAGAGUGAACAAGUGAUUUUCUGCCAUACGAACCAAAGCUUCACAGAGGAAAGGGGGGUACCUGGAGCAGACUGCGGAAGGGAGCAGAGAGCUCCCUUGGAAGCAUGGGGAGGUUCCCCUCUCUGAGGCGGUGCCACUCCUCUCCAUUUUGGGGCAUUGGAGGAGCGCCUGCUGCCAGUAGCACUGUGAGGCCCAAAGCAAAGAUGUCCGCCAUGGGAAGAUUGCCGUAAUCCUAGCGCACACGAGAAAGACAAACACUUCAACUACACCUUGUAGAUAUUUAUUUUCAAUGGCUCCAUUUUACCUCAUGCAGAACCUCAGUGGCCAGAAAGCGGCUGUCCCCCUCUUCAACUUGAGGAGAAUUGCUUGAGGUCACAUGACCCAGAUCUCCUGUGUGGAGGAAAAAGAGUAAUACGGAUGCACCUCUUACACAUACAGUAUCAUGCCAUGUACCCAUCAUACACAAAACAUACCAAUUUUGUAUGUGACUCCUGCUGGAUGGGUUCCUUCAUCCUCUUCCUCACUCUCACCCACGCCCAGUGUGCUUGAGACAGAACGCUGGCAAAUGAAUAUAUUGCCUGCACAUACAUUUGACGUCUUUAAUGCUGAGGCGUUUUAAUAGCGGACCCAUUACAUGCAUUAAUAGCUAUCUGUUUUGACAUCUUUAGAAUGAACAGAAAGAAAAAGACGUGUUCAUGUCUCACAUAAGGAUUGUGGAUGAUGUGCAAAAUUACAAAAGAGUGCAGUUUUCCUUCAAGGGUACUUUUACUUUUUCUUCAUUGAAGAAAUGAUGAAAAGUGGUGGGGGUUGAUCUCGCUGCCACAUUGUGUUUUUGGGAACAGUCAGGUCUUCAGUGGGGGUAAAAGUAACCCUAAAUGUUCAUUCAUCCCUUUCAUUCGUCAUUUAUAUGCAUUUAGAAUAUUUUUUUAUGCAUAUAAAACUAUAAAAACAUGUUUUGCGUUAACAUUCCAACCGCUGAUGACAUCACAUACUGGCGACAUAAUGUAGCUGACUUUUGGUUGACAUUUUGUUGAACUAGCUCAUAGGAUGCUAACAGGGAAGGCACGUUUAUUGAUUUAAAAACUAAAAAAACACGGACUCGCACAGUGUAUUAACAAGACGGGCGGCGUAUUGUACGCUGACCUGAGAAUGCAUGUAAAAAUAGGCAACAUUGUUACAUAAAUUUUUCAAUGUUAACCCAAAAAAAAAAAAACAAAAAAAAAAAACACCUGCUAACCACGGCGGUUCCACUGUAUAUAUGUACUUAUAUGCAUUUAGAAAUAUUGUAAACAUGUAAUAACUAUCAUUGUAAAACUAUAAAAAUGUUUUGUUUUAACAUUUGGUUUGUCAGCCACCGAUUCGCUGCUAAAUGUUCCACGUGAACCGAAAAACAUGCUAACCGGGGCGUGCACUCACCGAGCUUCCACUGCAGUGUGAAUGAAUGAUCAGUGAUAGACAUAGAAGGGGUAGGAUUAAAUAAACUUCUUCCUGCUCCUUUUUGGACACCUUGAAUUGUGCAAAUAUAAAACAUGUGACGUUCCCCAAGUGUAACUUGUUUAGCUUGUCUGAAACCAGACGUUUGUGUGUCAGAAAACCAUACCAUACCACUUGCAAUGUUAAAAAUAUGAAAACAAAUCCUGGUUUUCUGCACCUUUAUCCAUAUCUGCAUUGAAAUGACUGCAUUCCUCGGCUCAUGGCUUACUUCCUACUAAACAACCAACCACAGGACAAAACAUAACAUCCUUCAUGGAGUAGUAAAGAGUAAAGUAAAAAAAAACUAACAAACAAAAAAACAAAAAAAGACUCACUUGGUUUGAUGUCCAGGUGCACAAGUCCUAAACUAUGGAUGUAUUUAAGACCCAAAGACACUUGAAGGAUCAAAUCUUUCAACUCUGCUUCUGAAAACAUCCCCUUUGUCCUGAUGACAUCACUCAGACUUCCACCUGGCUCAUGCGCACACAAAAUAUGGGAUCGUCAAAACUGCACACACUUCCAUUCAUCUUGCACGUUUAAAAAGCAUGCAGCCGUCUACCCACCAUUGCAAUAUUCAUUUUGAAUAAUCAUGUGGUCUUCCUCGGCCCAGGCGGAGUAAUAGCGGACGACAUGAGGAUGAUGGCCAAGAACUGCAUGUGCGUAUACUUCCUUCAGAGCCAGCUUCCUAAGACGACGAUGGAAAAGAAAAUGGACUCAGCAGUCAACGUCAAGCACAGGACACGUGCGAUAUAGACAACCUUUCACACUCACAUUCACACCUGUGGAGUGUUACCAAUUAACCCAGUGGUUGUCAAUUAUUUUCAGAAAUAUGAGAGGCGGGGUACACCGUGGACUGGUUGCAAACAUGUAAACAAAGAACCAUUCACACUCACAUUCAUACUUUUGGACAAUUUACAGUCGCCAGUUAACCUAACAUGCAUGUUUUUAGAAUGUGGGAGGAAACCGGAGUACACGGCAAAAACCCACGCACGCACGCACGUCUUCCCGAUCUCCUGACUGUGUGGCCAACAUGCUAACCACUCGGCCACCGUGUUUCUCAUUCAUGAAAAGAUUAAUUGACCAAAAGUUACACGAACCAUAUUAAAAACACUUUCUAUGAUUAAUUACAAGGGUGUCCAAAGUGCGGCCAGGUGCCGCUAAAAUUGGCCCGUUGUAAAACAUUCAUUAUUAAUGAUACAGUAGUUCCAUGCUUUUUACGAGGGUUACAUUCCAGCUCCAUGAGCUAAGUAAUUGACACACCGCUAAAAAUGUCUAUUCUUCACACACAGCUAGCUUCCCCCCCAAACCUUUCUGCCAGCUUGACAUUCUCUGAUUUUGGAUCAACACUUGCAAGAAAAGUGACUUAUAAUUCAGCUCUAGAACCCUCCCAGUCUCUCUUAAGUACGCCUCACACACUUAUUCAAAUCAUUCUACAAUCAGAGUCACAGUGUGUAAUUUAUAUGCAAGGACCGCCAGCGAAAUCUUAACACUUGACAAAAAAGAAAGAAAAAAAACAUUGUCACAGAAGCUUAAAGACAAUCACGUAAAAAAAAACCAACCAAAAAAAAAAGUGUUUUUCAACAUCCCCAAUUUAAAUGGGAACAUUUCAUCACAAAAAGCUGCUCACAUACAAAGUGUAUGGCUUGGCAGUAUCAAGCUGCAAGACUCACUCAUCGGCGGAGCCUGCGAGGGGUCGUCGGGAUCGUUUGAUGGCGUACAGGCAACCAUCCAGCCUCUUCACACACUUGUAAACUGUCCCAUACUCGCCCACGCCGAUGCGCUCCAGCUCCAGGAAGUCGCUCUCAUACCGUGACAGCAUGAAGGCUUGGACAGCUUGCCUCUGCACACGAACGCACAGUAUCACAAAGAUGAUUGUUGACUUUGAUUACAGCCACAAGCGGACGCUUUUCUUUUGCUAAUAUUGGUGCGUUCAGGCAAGCUUUGCUUCAUGUCGUCAGACGUUCCUUCAAGGAAUUCCGGAUGAAGUGUCAGUUGGACAAGAAAGGAAUUGGAAGCGGAAGGCGGGGAUGACGCAGCAGAGGAUGAAGAGAAGCUGUCAGUGAUAAAAAUAGCUGUACCUUUGGUGGGAGGAAGUAGUCAUCAUCCUCCUCUGAUGAUGUCAGGCUGUGUUUCAACCUAAAAGACAAAAUAGUCACAUUUAACAACAACAUCGACAAAGUAUUAGUAAUACAAUAAAAUAAAUAUUAAAAAAGACACUUUCAAAUACUGUGACCAGGUAUUCACACUGUCAUGAUCUCUUGAUGGCAAAGGCAAAAAAGUUAUAUUUUUGAACACAGUCGGACUGUUUACAGCGCAAUUGCUGCUGAGGUAGGACGCAGUAAGUCAUUUGAAACGUCUUCAAAGAUCCUGAAGGUUGCGGAUCUUUGAAGCCGGAGGAUUCCAUUGGCUGUUCGUCGAAACAUGGGACAUUGAAAGGUGGAAAAAAGUUUUAUUCUCUGAUGAAAAAAAAAUCGAACUUUGAUGGUCCUGACGGCUUCCAACGUUACUGGCAUGACAAGUAGAUCCCACCUGAGAUGUUUUCCACACGACACAGUGGAGAGGGCACCAUCAUAAUCUGGGGUGCCUUUUCCUUCAAUGGAACAAUGGCGCUUCAGGUUGUGCAGGGGCGUCAAACGGCAGCUGGCUAUGUUGCAGGUGGCAUCCCUCAUGACUGAAGGUCCUCGUCUGUGUGGUAAUGACUGGCUUUUUCAACAGGACAACACUGCAGUUCACAAUGCCCGCAUGACAAAGGACUUCUUCCAUAGGAAUAAACUCACUCUUUUGGACCAUCCUGUGUCUUCCCCUGAUAUAAAUCCUAUUGAGAACAUGUGGGGAUGGAUGUCAAGGGAAGUUUACAAAAAUGGACAUCAGUUCCAGACAGUGGAUGCCCUAUGUGAAGCCAUCGUCACCACCUGGAGCAACAUUCCCACUAGCCUCCUGGAAACACUGGCAUCAAGCAUGCCCAAAGCAAUUUUAGCGGUGAUUAACAAGAAUGGCACAAUUUCUAUUUCAGAGGUAUUAUGGUGUUAAACUUUUGAUCAGCUGAUGAGCAGCCUAUUUCACUUUAAUGCUUGUUUACAAUAAAUUGCUUCCUCAAAA
Molecule: long non-coding RNA, 5391 nt
Organism: Dunckerocampus dactyliophorus (ringed pipefish)
Lineage: Eukaryota; Metazoa; Chordata; Actinopteri; Syngnathiformes; Syngnathidae
Exons: 3
Source: RefSeq, a predicted model, not a curated record